RNAcentral lists this transfer RNA (72 nucleotides) under Bos taurus (domestic cattle). It matches the Rfam family "tRNA". Rfam says of the family: Transfer RNA (tRNA) molecules are approximately 80 nucleotides in length. Their secondary structure includes four short double-helical elements and three loops (D, anti-codon, and T loops). Further hydrogen bonds mediate the characteristic L-shaped molecular structure. tRNAs have two regions of fundamental functional importance: the anti-codon, which is responsible for specific mRNA codon recognition, and the 3' end, to which the tRNAs corresponding amino acid is attached (by aminoacyl-tRNA synthetases). tRNAs cope with the degeneracy of the genetic code in two manners: having more than one tRNA (with a specific anti-codon) for a particular amino acid; and 'wobble' base-pairing, i.e. permitting non-standard base-pairing at the 3rd anti-codon position. RNAcentral also lists the same sequence under 3 other names. The record is from Rfam by way of RNAcentral. Lineage: Eukaryota; Metazoa; Chordata; Mammalia; Artiodactyla; Bovidae.
UCCCUGGUGGCUCAGAUGGUAAAGAAUCUGCCUGCAAUGCAGGAGAUUUAGGUUUGAUUCCUGGGUUGGGAA